Long non-coding RNA from Mesocricetus auratus (golden hamster), 1750 nucleotides. RefSeq lists it as uncharacterized. The record is from RefSeq and is a predicted model, not a curated record. The transcript is spliced from 2 exons. NCBI's taxonomy places the organism in Eukaryota, Metazoa, Chordata, Mammalia, Rodentia, Cricetidae.
UCAACCUCUCCUAACUGUGAGUUUUUAUCCCGAAGCCAACAGAGAACUGGAAGAUUAACAGUCUGCCCUUGCCAUUCCUUGAAACAACAGAAUCCAUUUUGGCAGUUUUUCCCUUUGGGAAAAGGUACCCUUUUGAAACAUUUGGACACUGGUAUGGACCAUGAUGAGUGGCAAAAGCCCCUUAUCAGUAUUUGAACAGGACACGGCCACUUGAAACAUCAGCCCUGGUGGUUCCUGUUUCUGGAAUUACACCUAUGCCUGUAUGUUUUCCUGGAGAAAUGCAACUUGUCCUAAUGCAACAAAAAGGAGGCUUUGGCAUCACAGCCGCUGUUGUCCCAGCCAUUGCCAUAAGGCCACUGUGGCUCCUGCAGCCAGAAUUGCCUUGGCCCAAUUUUCUGCCAAGGCAGAGACUGUUAACAGCCUUUCUGGUAGAGUUAGUGAAGCACUCUCCACUCAGAUUGCGCUCAAUUCGCAUAUUCAGCUGAGGCUCCUGAAGUUAAAUCAACAAACUGCAUCACUUCAGGAACAAAGUGGUGCUCUGUGGAUAGUGAAUCUCUCUUCCUCCCUCCCUCCCUCCCUCCCUCCCUUCCUUCCUUCCUUCCUUUCCAUUCUUCCCUUUCCUUUCUUUCCUUCAUGUUUUAGGUUGUUUAUAUUUAGUCUUAGAAGUCCUGUACCUCAAUAAGUUGAAGAGGCUGUCCUUCAGCUCACAGAGAUCCGCUUAUCUGUGUGGCUGGAAUGUUGUGAUUAAAGGUGUGCAUCCCCACUCCCAUUUGGAUUGAUUUUCAAACAUUUGUUGGUGGUGAGAGUGAACCCAGAGCCUAGAGCAUGUCAGGUCAGAAGAAGCUACCAGAUCUCAUUACAGAUGUCUGUACAACAACAUAUGAUUGCUGGAUAUUGUAGUUAGGACCUUUGGAAUAUUAGCUAGUGUUCUUAACCACUGAGAUAUCUCUCCAGGUCCCUAAUCUUGGAAUCUUCCUCAUCAGUUUUCUAUGCUUUUGUAGAAAAGUAGGGAUGUGAGAUUGAAAGAAUGAGAAGACAGAUACUUGUGACCUUGGGUUUGGAGAGGUUGACCACAAAGUGCUUGCUUUUACUAUCUUAUCCAACUCUAUACACGUUGUAUUCAUUUAUGAGUGUAUAUUCACUAUAUACAGACUGCUUGUAUGUUUAUUUCAUAAAUAUUAUAUUACUAAUACUGUUUCUUUGGGAAGCCUGAGGAUGCAGUGUAGAGUCUGAGACAUAUUGCACAUCAUACUUCCAAGGAAUCAUACCCUCAUGCCUUCCCCUGGAUUAUUGUGAAAAUAUGUCUUGUGCUAAUAAAUUAAGCCUCAUUAUUAAAAGGAUAAAUUCUUGAAGGAUAUGAAUAACAAAACAGGCAGAGAUAGCACAAACCUCUAAUCCUAGCACUCAGGAGACAAAGGCAAGUGGAUCUCUCAGUUAGAGGUCAGCCUGGUCUAAAGAAUGAGAUUUCACACAACAAGGGAUACACAGAGAAACCCUGUCUUGAAAAAUUACUCAGUAAAUGAUGAAUAAUAAAUUGAUGUAAGAAAACAGAAUCAAUGCUUGGUGGUGAUGGUGCAUACCUUUAACACCAGCACUUGGGAGGCAGAGGCAAGCUACAAGGACAAAGAUCUUACUGUGAUGUAUUGGGUCUAGGGGAAGGAAGGGGAUGAGCAAAGAAAACUUACAAAUAUUUUAAAAUUUGUUUUACACUGUAAAUGGGUAUUAAAUUAUAAGAGGAAACUAACUCCAA